RNAcentral lists this Y RNA (113 nucleotides) under Microcebus murinus (gray mouse lemur). RNAcentral's name for it is "Y RNA (ENSMICG00000044431.1)". It matches the Rfam family "Y RNA". Rfam says of the family: Y RNAs are components of the Ro ribonucleoprotein particle (Ro RNP), in association with Ro60 and La proteins. The Y RNAs and Ro60 and La proteins are well conserved, but the function of the Ro RNP is not known. In humans the RNA component can be one of four small RNAs -- hY1, hY3, hY4 and hY5. Lineage: Eukaryota; Metazoa; Chordata; Mammalia; Primates; Cheirogaleidae. The record is from RNAcentral.
GGCUGGUUCGAAGGUGGUGAGUUAUCUGAAUCGAUUGUUCACAGUCAGUUACAGAUUGAACUUCUUGUUCUGCUGCUUUCCUCUCUUCUCACUACUGUAUUGAUUAAUAUUAA